GACGAACGCUGGCGGCGUGCUUAACACAUGCAAGUCGAACGGAAAGGCCCUGCUUUUGUGGGUUGCUCGAUUGGCGAACGGGUGAGUAACACGUGAGUAACCUGCCCUUGACUUUGGGAUAACUUCAGGAAACUGGGGCUAAUACCCGAUAGGAUCUCCUGCUGCAUGGUGGUGGUUGGAAAGUUUCGGCGGUUGGGGAUGGUCUCGCUGCUUAUCAGCUUGUUUGGGGGGUAGUUGCUUACCAAGGGUUUGACGGGUAGCCGGCCUGAGAGGGUGACCGGGCACAUUGGGACUGAGAUACGGCCCAGAAUCCUACGGGAGGCAGCAGUGGGGAAUAUUGCACAAUGGGCGGAAGCCUGAUGCAGCAACGCCGCGUGCGGGAUGACGGCCUUCGGGUUGUAAACCACUUUCGACUGUGACGAAGCGUGAGUGACGGUAAUGGGUAAAGAAGCACCGGCUAACUACGUG
This 468-nucleotide ribosomal RNA is filed under the name uncultured bacterium. RNAcentral describes it as "partial 16S ribosomal RNA". It matches the Rfam family "Bacterial small subunit ribosomal RNA", at positions 28 to 507 of the family's 1533-position model. The record is from RNAcentral.